Long non-coding RNA from Pseudoliparis swirei, 446 nucleotides. RefSeq lists it as uncharacterized. Lineage: Eukaryota; Metazoa; Chordata; Actinopteri; Perciformes; Liparidae. The transcript has 2 exons. The record is from RefSeq and is a predicted model, not a curated record.
AGAGAGAGAGAGUGUGUCUUUGUGUGAGGUGCUGUCGGAGCGGGGAGGUGGCCGGGUGGCACAAUGAAGCAGCUGUUUGCUCACGGCCAGUCUCGAGUCGGCGGGGAGGAUUUAACACGUCGGCCCGGCGUUGGCAGCGGGGGAGCUGCGGUUAGGGCCGAGCUAAUCACCCGAGCGAGCUUCUGACACGUAAAGCGCAAAGUUACGAGGCCGGCAGAACUCAAACACCUCUUCGGCGUAGAAGAAUGGAUUAUCUGCGUGCCGUUUAAAGGCUGCUGGCUCGACAUCACGGGGAAGGGCAGCCAAACGUUGGGUUUGUUCAAAAGAAAAGCACCAAAUCUGUCCGUGCGGUAGCGGGAGGGUGGGUGGUCAGUCGUGCUAAAGCAGUGGUCGCCAAGCCGUCGAUCUCCAAAAUAAAAUGAAAAUAAAUUCAGAAACACAUUGUU